UUGGACAGAAAUGGAUUGUCUCAGGUCUC
This 29-nucleotide non-coding RNA is filed under the name Mus musculus (house mouse). Lineage: Eukaryota; Metazoa; Chordata; Mammalia; Rodentia; Muridae. The record is from RNAcentral.